UCGACUGUUUAUCAAAAACAUAAUUAAUAGAUAUAAUUAUUAAUAUAUCCUGCUCAAUGAAGAUUAAAUAGCCGCAGUUCAUACUGUGCUAAGGUAGCAUAAUCAUUUGUCUUUUAAUUAAAGACUAGAAUGAAAGGAUAAACAUUUAAUUCAUUUUUAUAAAUUCCUUAAUUAAAUUUAUUUUAAAUGUAAAAAAACAUUUAUUCAAAAGAAAGACGAAAAGACCCUAUUGAACUUUACUUUAGUUAAACUGGGGCAGUUAAUUAAUAAAUAUUUUAAUAAUUUAUUUUUAAAAAAUGACCCGACCAAAUCGAUAAAAUGAUCAAGUUACCAUAGGGAUAACAGCGUAAUAUUUUUCUUUAGAUCUUAUAUAAAAAAAAGAUUACGACCUCGAUGUUGAAUUAAUUUUUCUAAUAAAUGCAACCAUUUAAAAAGAAAGUCUGUUCGACUUUUAAACAAUUACAUGAUUUGAGUUCAGACCGGUGUAAACCAGGUCGGUUUCUAUCUU
Molecule: ribosomal RNA, 508 nt
Filed under: Isopeda vasta
Lineage: Eukaryota; Metazoa; Arthropoda; Arachnida; Araneae; Sparassidae
Description: partial 16S ribosomal RNA
Rfam family: Bacterial large subunit ribosomal RNA
Source: RNAcentral